CAUGAGGCUCCUGAGCUGCAGGUUGCUGAGCUAGCCAACCUGUAGCAUUCCUGUGUAAAUGCAAAACUGUGCCUUUUAAAUCUGGUGUUAAAGCUUAAAAGUAAAGUCCGCGACUCACAUAGGGCUUUUCCACCGGGCAGGAGCUGGAGCUAAGUUGGAGCUAGCUCGUGUUUUGGCUCCGAGCCAUUCUGUUUCCACCAACAUGGCUCCAGCUCUCGGAGCCAAAAACCAGAGCUACUGGCUACAUUUAAAAGUGAGUCCAAGAAGACAGCAGUGGUCAGAGGAGGAGAACAUUGUUUCCUGGUAUUGUGGGUGUCUGAAGAGGUUCAGGGAAAGUGGACGGAGCCCCACGGACCAAACAGAACUACAACCACGGAGGAACUCGUCCUGUAGAACUCUUACUAAUCCUGGCCAUUUAGUGUGGGUUGAAAAAUAUCCAGCUAAAGUGAACUUUGAAGAAGACGUGUUUGAAACAAGAUGGCGAGCCGCUCUCGAACCAGCCUUCGAACCACGUGGACCUUCUGAACUGUGCAUCUGCUCGAGUGCUACGCCCUCUGCUGAUUGGUGCAUGGUUUUCAUCUGAACUGGAAAAAAGGAGGAAGAUGUUAAUGCAGAUUUUCUUUCAUGGAGCAGCCAGGGACACGGUUCAUGGACCAGAACCAGUACCAGGACUACGUCCAUGGUCCAUAACCUCCAGCUCAUGAUGAACUCCACAGCACUGGUUGGACUGGUGUUGGCUGGAGCAGAUAGAGGCAGGCUUUGGCCCUUUCUACUAGAAAACCCACAAUUAUUUUUUAAGUCAAUGUUAAUUUAUAUUGAGUUAGUUUGUACAUCUAUUUUUACUUUGUCUUACUUAUUUUGUAUUCUACAAGGACUUUGCUCAUUGUUUGUUGUCUUCUUGUAAGCACACACGUAUUUUAUUUUUAUUCAGAUAAUUGAAUUGCUCUUUUGCACUUUUUGUAAGAUAGAAACAUAACCUGCCCUGCUGUAGCACAUACUAUUAGGUUUGUAUUUUU
This 1016-nucleotide long non-coding RNA is filed under the name Gouania willdenowi (blunt-snouted clingfish). RNAcentral describes it as "lncRNA (ENSGWIG00000009989.1)". Lineage: Eukaryota; Metazoa; Chordata; Actinopteri; Blenniiformes; Gobiesocidae. The record is from RNAcentral.